AUGCUGUUCCUGCAACUUGUGUUGCUGGUGGUUCUCCUCUCAGGUGGUGACAGUGAAGACGACUUCCAGGAGACCUCCUUCCAAAUCAUCCUGACCACGUCUUUUUACAAUGAUUCCUGGACACAAAAACUAGGCUCAGCAUGGCUGGAUGAACUACAGACUCAUGGCUGGGACAGUGACUCUGGCAACUUCACAUGCCUGUGGCCUUGGUCCAAGGGAAACUUCAGCAACAAGUUGCUAAUGGAAGAGGAAAGGUCAUUCCAUACAUUCUCCAUUAGAUUUCCUCUGAUAUUUCAGGACCAUUUCAGUGAAUGGCAGCUUGAAUAUCCCUUUCAGGUACAGGCAGCAAAAGGCUGUGAACUGCACUUUGGGGAACCAUCAGUAGGCUUCAUGAGGAUUGCUUAUCAAGGAUCAGAUCUUGUGAUCUUCCAGAACAAGUCAUGGUGGCCAUCUCCAAAGGGAGGAAGAAGGGCUCAGCUGGUCUCCAGACUAUUCAAUCAGUACCAUGUGAUCAAUGUAAGACUACAAACACAUAUCAGUGACACUGUCCCCGUUUCCUCUUGGGUCUUCUUGAUGCAGGGAAGACACAUCUGCAGCGACAAGUGAGACCAGAGGCCUGGCUGUCCACUGGCCCCAGUCCAGGUCCUGGCCAUCUGCUGCUGGUGUGCCAUGUCUCUGGCUUCUACCCAAAGCCUGUGUGGGUGAUGUGGAUGCGGGGUGAGCAGGAGCAACAGGGCACCCAGCGAAGAGAUGUUCUGCCCCAUGCUGAUGGGACGUGGUAUCUUCAGGUGUCCUUGGAUGUGAAAGCCAUAGAGGCUUCUGGCCUGUCAUGCUUGGUGAGACACAGCAGUCUAGGAGGCCAGGACAUGGUCCUUUACUGGGAAAAGCAUCAACCCAUAGGCUUGGUCUUCCUGGAAGUGAUAGUGCCCCUGGUGCUUCUGGGAGUUCUCACCUUGUGGCUCUGGAAACACAGGAAAACACACUGGAGACCUCAAUGCACUGGCCUCCCACUGGAAUGAGAAAUCAGCAGCCCAGGGACCAGGACAUACUUAAACCCAGCUCAGCAGUGAUGUCUUUGCAACCCUUUCUGUGCAACUUUUAUGUUUCAUUCGUGCUUAAUGAUCAGUUGGCAAUUUAAGCCCAGUGUAAUUUAGCUGGAUUUGUUUUUCUGACUUGGUUUGCAACUUAAUCUCAAAACUGAACUCAGAGUAAAAUGAAUUACCAGUGACCUCUAUGGGUCACGAGAAUCAGAUAUCACUUCCUCCAGUGAGAAUUCCCCGAUUCACAAGUAGAUUCAGUAUCCUUUGUGAGACUACCACUACCUUGACCUCCACUUUGGCUAAUCUGUUCCUGCCCCCAAACCCUUGUUGGUCCCAUUAGGUUCCUUUUGCUUUCUAACUCUUAGGCCUUUUGAGAACAAUGUCCAUGUCUUUUAAAUAUUUCC
This is an RNA transcript of Enhydra lutris kenyoni (northern sea otter), 1444 nucleotides long. It is a transcript of the gene named T-cell surface glycoprotein CD1a-like, with no coding region annotated. Lineage: Eukaryota; Metazoa; Chordata; Mammalia; Carnivora; Mustelidae. The transcript is spliced from 6 exons. The record is from RefSeq and is a predicted model, not a curated record.